Molecule: ribosomal RNA, 695 nt
Filed under: uncultured Staphylococcus sp.
Lineage: Bacteria; Bacillati; Bacillota; Bacilli; Caryophanales; Staphylococcaceae
Description: bacterial SSU rRNA
Rfam family: Bacterial small subunit ribosomal RNA
Source: RNAcentral
GCAAGUCGAGCGAACAGACGAGGAGCUUGCUCCUCUGACGUUAGCGGCGGACGGGUGAGUAACACGUGGAUAACCUACCUAUAAGACUGGGAUAACUUCGGGAAACCGGAGCUAAUACCGGAUAAUAUAUUGAACCGCAUGGUUCAAUAGUGAAAGACGGUUUUGCUGUCACUUAUAGAUGGAUCCGCGCCGCAUUAGCUAGUUGGUAAGGUAACGGCUUACCAAGGCAACGAUGCGUAGCCGACCUGAGAGGGUGAUCGGCCACACUGGAACUGAGACACGGUCCAGACUCCUACGGGAGGCAGCAGUAGGGAAUCUUCCGCAAUGGGCGAAAGCCUGACGGAGCAACGCCGCGUGAGUGAUGAAGGUCUUCGGAUCGUAAAACUCUGUUAUUAGGGAAGAGCAAAUGUGUAAGUAACUAUGCACGUCUUGACGGUACCUAAUCAGAAAGCCACGGCUAACUACGUGCCAGCAGCCGCGGUAAUACGUAGGUGGCAAGCGUCAUCCGGAAUUAUUGGGCGUAAAGCGCGCGUAGGCGGUUUUUUAAGUCUGAUGUGAAAGCCCACGGCUCAACCGUGGAGGGUCACUGGAAACUGGAAAACUUGAGUGCAGAAGAGGAAAGUGGAAUUCCAUGUGUAGCGGUGAAAUGCGCAGAGAUAUGGAGGAACACCAGUGGCGAAGGCGACUUUCUGGUC